ACCUACGGGGGGCAGCAGUAGGGAAUCUUCCACAAUGGGCGAAAGCCUGAUGGAGCAAAGCCGCGUGAGGGAAGAAGGUACAGCGUAUCGUAAACCUCUUUUGUCAGGGAACAAAGGCGGGGACUAGUCCCCGGAUGAGGGUACCUGAAGAAAAAGCAUCGGCUAACUCCGUGCCAGCAGCCGCGGUAAUACGGAGGAUGCGAGCGUUAUCCGGAUUUAUUGGGUUUAAAGGGUGCGCAGGCGGCCUGUUAAGUCAGCGGUAAAAGCCCGGGGCUCAACCCCGGCGAGCCGUUGAAACUGGCGGG
Molecule: ribosomal RNA, 305 nt
Filed under: uncultured bacterium
Lineage: Bacteria
Description: bacterial SSU rRNA
Rfam family: Bacterial small subunit ribosomal RNA
Source: RNAcentral